AUUCCAGCUCCAAUAGCGUAUAUUAAAGUUGUUGCAGUUAAAAAGCUCGUAGUUGAACUUUGGGCUUGGAGAAUCGGUCCAACUUUGUUGUGUACUGUCUUCUCCAGGUCUUUCCUUCUGGUUCUCAUUUGGGGUUUACUCCAUUUGUUGAUCCAGGAUUUUUACUUUGAAAAAAUUAGAGUGUUCAAAGCAGGCGUUUUGCUCGAAUAUAUUAGCAUGGAAUAAUAGAAUAGGACGAUUGGUUCUAUUUUGUUGGUUUCUAGGGCCAUCGUAAUGAUUAAUAGGGACGGUCGGGGGCAUCAGUAUUCAGUUGUCAGAGGUGAAAUUCUUGGAUUUACUGAAGACUAACUACUGCGAAAGCAUUUGUCAAGGACGUUUUCAUUA
This 384-nucleotide ribosomal RNA is filed under the name Hanseniaspora sp. RNAcentral describes it as "partial small subunit ribosomal RNA". It matches the Rfam family "Eukaryotic small subunit ribosomal RNA", at positions 582 to 975 of the family's 1831-position model. Lineage: Eukaryota; Fungi; Ascomycota; Saccharomycetes; Saccharomycodales; Saccharomycodaceae. The record is from RNAcentral.